RNAcentral lists this ribosomal RNA (468 nucleotides) under uncultured bacterium. RNAcentral describes it as "partial 16S ribosomal RNA". It matches the Rfam family "Bacterial small subunit ribosomal RNA", at positions 28 to 507 of the family's 1533-position model. The record is from RNAcentral.
GACGAACGCUGGCGGCGUGCUUAACACAUGCAAGUCGAACGGAAAGGCCCUGCUUUUGUGGGGUGCUCGAUUGGCGAACGGGUGAGUAACACGUGAGUAACCUGCCCUUGACUUUGGGAUAACUUCUGGAAACUGGGGCUAAUACCGGAUAGGAGCUCCUGCUGCAUGGUGGGGGUUGGAAAGUUUCGGCGGUUGUGGAUGGACUCGCGGCUUAUCAGCUUGUUGGUGGGGUAGUGGCUUACCAAGGUUUUGACGGGUAGGCGGCCUGAGAGGGUGACCGGGCACAUUGGUACUGAGAUAGGGCCCAGAAUCCUACGGGAGGCAGCAGUGGGGAAUAUUGCACAAUGGGCGGAAGUCUGAUGCAGCAACGCCGCGUGCGUGAUGCCGGCCUUCGGGUUGUAAACCGAUUUCGCCUGUGACGAAGCGUGAGUGACGGUAAUGGGUAAAGAAGCACCGGCUAACUACGUG